UAGGGAAUCUUCGGCAAUGGACGGAAGUCUGACCGAGCAACGCCGCGUGAGUGAAGAAGGUUUUCGGAUCGUAAAGCUCUGUUGUAAGAGAAGAACGAGUGUGAGAGUGGAAAGUUCACACUGUGACGGUAUCUUACCAGAAAGGGACGGCUAACUACGUGCCAGCAGCCGCGGUAAUACGUAGGUCCCGAGCGUUGUCCGGAUUUAUUGGGCGUAAAGCGAGCGCAGGCGGUUAGAUAAGUCUGAAGUUAAAGGCUGUGGCUUAACCAUAGUAGGCUUUGGAAACUGUUUAACUUGAGUGCAAGAGGGGAGAGUGGAAUUCCAUGUGUAGCGGUGAAAUGCGUAGAUAUAUGGAGGAACACCGGUGGCGAAAGCGGCUCUCUGACUUGUAACUGACGCUGAGGCUCGAAAGCGUGGGGAGCAAACAGGAUUAGAUACCCUGGUAGUCCACGCUGUAAACGAUGAGUGCUAGGUGUUAGACCCUUUCCGGGGUUUAGUGCCGUAGCUAACGCAUUAAGCACUCCGCCUGGGGAGUACGACCGCAAGGUUG
RNAcentral lists this ribosomal RNA (550 nucleotides) under uncultured bacterium. Its description in RNAcentral is "bacterial SSU rRNA". It matches the Rfam family "Bacterial small subunit ribosomal RNA", at positions 355 to 896 of the family's 1533-position model. The record is from RNAcentral.